GGGGUUAAGGAGAGGACAGGGGGAGGCAGAGUCGCCGGCCUACGACGGCGGCGUGCCGUCUGUGGCGGCGGCAGGAGGCUGAGAAGGGAGAAGGGAGAGGGGUGAGGGGAGAGCGGCUGAGAGAGAGAAGGAGUGAAGAGCGUGGUGCGUGAGUUAUGUGGGUGUGUUGGAGAAUGAGAGUUAAAGUAGGGGAAAUGGGGAAAUGAAAUGGGCUUUGGGCUUAGUUUGGUUUUAAAUUGAAUGGGCUUUAAUUGGGGCUUAAUUUUAUUAGAUGAUUGGGCUAUAAUUUGAUUAAUUAUUGCACUAAUUUAUUUUAUCAAAAGGCUUGCAUUUGCAUAUUAUUUUACAAAGAAUGUCAUAUUUGGACUUCAUAUUUUAAUUUUCAUUAUUAAGUUGGACUUGAUUUUAUUAAAUCCCAACUCAAAUUUUUAAAGAAGCAUGCAUUUUAUUAUUUGGUUCAUUAGACCAAUUAUUUUCAAAUGAUUAUAUGAUAAUAAAUUUUUAAAAUUUAAACUAUUAUUAUUAUUUUAUAAAUUCAGUUAGGCCCUUAUAUUUUUAUUAUCUGAAUUUAUCUGACUAGGUGCGGCGCGACUAGGACGUAAAUUUUGAUUUAAUUACUCAAGUUAGCAUACAAGUUGAAGUUCAAAAAUUCAGGUGUGGGAUUUAUUUCAGUACAUGCUGUGGUUAAUCUUUGUCCAUUUUAAUAUCAUGUGUUUACCAUAUGUGAGUUGCAUUAAAUUAUAUCGCUAGGGGCCCGCUCAAUGGGUCCAGGACUUCACCGUCCUUGGUAUGCCACAAUGCGAUUUCAUGUUAAAGUUAUGGUUGCAACCAGUCGCCAGGGGCCGGCUCAAUCGGUCCAGGACGGAAAGGUCCUUGGUAUGCCACAGUGCGACUUUCAGUUACGAAUGUAUUGAUCAUAUGUGAUUCUCAUUUUAUUAACGUGGACAAUGAUUGCAUGUUUCCCACACUGAGUGUACCCUGUAUGCUCAUCCCAUACUUAACAUUUUCAGGUUUCAAAGGCCGGAGGCGCGUGGAAGGUCGAAUGGCGAACCAAAUAUUUUGUAUUUAGCUUUAACUAAAAAUGUUAUUUUGAGUAAAGUAUGUUUAAAUAAAAAUGUAUUUCUUUAUUUUCACAUUAAAUAUUUAUUUAUAUGCAUAGUUUUUCCGCGUGCGUUUUCAUUUAAAAUUAAAAUGGAUUUGGGUGUCACAAGGUGGUAUCAGAGCAGGUCUACUUUCCUGUAGACUCUGCAAAAUAAAAAUUUUCUUAAAAUGUUUUUAAGUCAAGUAUGACAAAUCCAUUCGACCUCUACGUGCUCCGACAUCAAGGUAAAGAUAUUUCAAAUAUUUUUCAAGGGGAUGAGUAUAAAUUAUUUACGUUGAAAGUAUGUUGAGUUUUGCUGCAAUGAUUGAAGUAUUAUCAGAAAGUUCAAGUUCAGUAUGCAAGUUAUUAUGAGAAAGUUCAGUAUUCAUGUUAUUAUGUUGAAGAUUAUUGCAGCUAUGAAUUGUCAAAUUUCGAGGACGAAAUUUUUUUAAGUGGGUAGGUUUGUCACAGCCCAAAACCGUUUACUUCCUUUGCAAAUUUUAUUUGAAAAUUAGUAUAUUUUUGAGUUAUUAAAAUAUAUAUCUAUGAGUCGAGUUGUGAUAAAUCUAGUCGCGCCCCUAGUUAGAUAGUUAAUUUUAAGUUACAAAUUUUAAUUUUAGUAAAUAGUAAAUUUAUUUCUCAAAGAAUAGGCCAUGUAUAUACAUAAUCGUAUAAUUUCCUAUAUUGGGCCUUAAUUCUUAUAUAACUACUUACCAUUAUUGGGCCUGAAUAAAUUUCUCUAUAUUGGGCCUCAAUUACUUUUGUUGGCCUAAAGUAUUAUGAGCCCAUCUCAUUUUAGAAAAAAAUCAUUAGCAUUUAUAUUUCUUCUUUACUUACUGUUUUGAAAUUUCUACCGUUUCUAAUUGAAACAAUAGCUACGUGUUUUCUCCCUAGCCACAAUUCCAUUUUUCAUCUUCAGCCACUUAAUUUCUCUUUUCCUUUUUCAGCCACAUGAUUUUACUUAAAAAUCUUCAGCCACAAAUUUAAUUUCGUGCAGCCCAAGAAUUGAGUACUAUUUAAACACAAAUCACCCGAAUUUGUAUACCAGCAAUUUUCUCUUCAUCUGUUCACUUCACCAUAUAAACUCAAUCUGCCAUUUCUCACUGCACAUCAUCAAUCGGUAAUUUUAAUAUUUUCUGUGCGGCGCGACUAGGACGUAAAUUUUGAUUUAAUUACUCAAGUUAGCAUACAAGUUGAAGUUCAAGUUGAAGUUCAAAAAUUCAGGUGUGGGAUUUAUUUCAGUACAUGCUGUGGUUAAUCUUUGUCCAUUUUAAUAUCAUGUGUUUACCAUAUGUGAGUUGCAUUAAAUUAUAUCGCUAGGGGCCCGCUCAAUGGGUCCAGGACUUCACCGUCCUUGGUAUGCCACAAUGCGAUUUCAUGUUAAAGUUAUGGUUGCAACCAGUCGCCAGGGGCCGGCUCAAUCGGUCCAGGACGGAAAGGUCCUUGGUAUGCCACAGUGCGACUUUCAGUUACGAAUGUAUUGAUCAUAUGUGAUUCUCAUUUUAUUAACGUGGACAAUGAUUGCAUGUU
Molecule: long non-coding RNA, 2611 nt
Organism: Salvia miltiorrhiza (redroot sage)
Lineage: Eukaryota; Viridiplantae; Streptophyta; Magnoliopsida; Lamiales; Lamiaceae
Exons: 2
Source: RefSeq, a predicted model, not a curated record